CCUACGGGGGGCAGCAGUGGGGAAUAUUGGACAAUGGGGGCAACCCUGAUCCAGCCAUGCCGCGUGUGUGAAGAAGGCCCUCGGGUUGUAAAGCACUUUCAGUGAGGAAGAACGCCUGGUGGUUAAUACCCAUCAGGAAAGACAUCACUCACAGAAGAAGCACCGGCUAACUCCGGGCCAGCAGCCGCGGUAAUACGGAGGGUGCGAGCGUUAAUCGGAAUUACUGGGCGUAAAGCGCGCGUAGGUGGCUUGAUAAGCCGGUUGUGAAAGCCCCGGGCUCAACCUGGGAACGGCAUCCGGAACUGUCAAGCUAGAGUGCAGGAGAGGAAGGUAGAAUUCCCGGUGUAGCGGUGAAAUGCGUAGAGAUCGGGAGGAAUACCAGUGGCGAAGGCGGCCUUCUGGACUGACACUGACACUGAGGUGCGAAAGCGUGGGUAGCAAACAGGAUUAGAUACCCUAGUAGUC
Molecule: ribosomal RNA, 465 nt
Filed under: Vreelandella stevensii
Lineage: Bacteria; Pseudomonadati; Pseudomonadota; Gammaproteobacteria; Oceanospirillales; Halomonadaceae
Description: partial 16S ribosomal RNA
Rfam family: Bacterial small subunit ribosomal RNA
Source: RNAcentral